GCUCAUUUUCGCGGCUCCUCCUCUGGCUCCAUCAGACAAUCCUUCUGCGCAUGUCUGGCUCCAAUUUCAGCAGUCUUUUGCGACAGUUUGUGCCCGUCAAGCAGGCGUUUUGCCCUCAAGGCGUUCAAUGGGAAAAAGGGCUGUCGCGUCGUCCAUAUUUUUUACAGUCAUUGGAUUCAAUGCAUUGAUCAGUUCAGAAGUAUUUCGAGACCUGACGAAUCUGCAUUUGACUGACAAGCAACUUCUGUCUCAUGUAGCCUAGUGGGCUGUAGGUGUGCACGUUGUUACUGUGCUUCAAAUGGCUUCGGAUCCGAAUCCCGACUUGUACAAAUACUCCGAAAUCAUGAUUUUAUGCAUUUUAGUAAUGUUACUGUUUUCUGGUGCAGUCUAGAUAGGAUACAGCUGCAGAUGCAUCAUCAAUUUAGCAUCAUUUUUGUAACACUGUAAAACAAUAAUUAAUAUUUUUACAGCACUCUGAUGGUUGGAUUUAGGGUUUGGGUAGACAUUAAAUACAGUAAAUGGGAAGUGUAAUAAAUAAUAUCAAUAAUUCCUGUUAACUUUCAGCCACAACUGUGUCUGAUCUAUCAACAGCCCUGUUUUAUGACCAAAACAAGACAUAUUUAUUCACAAAGUGUUUAUUCGGAUGUCAGAACAAUGUUGAAACAAAACAAUACAAGAACAGAGCAUUUCAAACUGAUGUUCAGCAUUCAAAAUAGCUGCAUCAGCCUGGAUUCGAACCCAUUAUCCCCGAAUGGUAGUCAGGAACCCUCACCGCUCCACUAAAUCAUUUGAAGGUUCAUUUCUACAAAGUGGGGUUUAAUACCUUCUUUGCUGAAGCUAUUCCAGUGCAAUACAUAAAAUAUGACCACUAGGUGUCACUGUAGAGUGGGGUUUCAAAAACGUUUCGACACAUUUGCUUCGACUGUUUUAGUGUUUCAUGAAGCCUCGCUUUGCCCACCACUACUCGUAAUGUUAACAGUACAGAUAAACAACAAGACAGCAUCUAACGUGAGGGAGUGAGGUGUAUUUAUAGUCCUGGAAAUCAGGGAUGACAAGCUUCAGCUGUGUGUUUGUAAUGAGGGGAAAUCAGAACAGAAUCAGGUGUGUGUGGGAGGUGCAUGACAGGAUUUGUAGUCCAAUGGCGGCAGAUUUGUAGUUCUCCGGUGAUCUGCAAUAACUAGAUAGCUGUAAUAGUUCUGAAAACAAUAAAUUAUCUUGUCUAUAUUUUAAUAUACAAUUUCAGAUAUUAAAACUAGAAUCAACACACAAUCUCUUAGUAAGAAAUGCAUUUUUGGCAGAGCAUCAUUUUGUUUACCCCACUAGCAGAUUAUUUACCUUGUUUUAACUAAAACUCACUUAAUUUUUGUCUAUUUUUUGACUAUUGUGGUCUUGAAAAUGCUUAUUCGAUUCAAAAUAAUUUGAUAUUUCAACUUGAAACAAGUUAGAAAGGUGUUUUUUUGUAGUGCAGAGCGGUGUAGAUUGUCUCUAUUUUCCUCUGUUUAUUUGUCAGCUGUUUCCCAGAAUCCCUCUAACCAGCCGUUUCCAUCCGUGUUGUCAUGGAGAUCUGUCCAUGAGUUAAUUAACGCGGUUACAGGUACAUCUCUUCUCAGAACUCAUUAGACUCCCGGUUUAAAACAAGAGAAAUGGUCACGAUCUUAACCAAACUGCCUCAGUCGACCCUGUGCUGCAGGUUUAACCAGGAGACGGCGCUUCUCCUCAGAUUAUACAGUACUGUGUGAUGAUGACUUGUUUGUUUUGUGUCAUUUGAAACAAACCCAUCGUCUUUAAUGGGAAAAGGCGAAAUCCUGCAUACCUCAGAAGUCUGUUUCAUACUAAACCCUGGUGCACUUAAGUGUGUGUCGAUUUGCAUCUUUGAGCCUCAAAGCCACGAUUCCUGACGUUUUUGUGUGUCUGUGAGUGAUCAGCAUGUGAUUAUCGGUGCUCGGCCCUGUAGAUCAGCCCUCAUCAUGAUGUUUUGGAGUUUUGGUCGUGCCAUUUUUAUUUUUCAGAGUGUUUUAUAUGCAUGCGAGAGAAAGAGGGAGAGACAGACAGACAGACAGACGCAUUUAGAAACUCAGGGAGUGCAGACGUUUUUCAUUUCUUCAUCGCUUUAAAUGCCAAUUAUUGCACAUCGACUCGUAAAUCUCUCAGUUUUAAUCACAAUGGUAUUUGGAGAAUGAAUAUUUGGGUGAGUCUCAGCAAAUCACAACACAUAUUCAAGCAUACUGAUCAAAAAAACGGUUUUCUCACAGAAUUUAUGUCUCGUUUUCCAUUCACGAUAAGCAAAUCAAAAAGAUAAAAACUAUACACAAAAAUAUCACACAUGUGAGAAAUGAAUCUUGUUUACUUGUUGAAUUAAAUUGAUUUUCUUGACCUUGUUGGCAGUUUUGAGAACAAAGUUUUUUUAAUUUGAACUUGUAGACUUCAAUAUCUGAAGUCAUUAAAUGUGGGCCUUCAAUAAUUAAUAAUAAAAACUGUAUUGAUAAAUGUAAAAAAAAAAAAAAAAAACAUUCGAUGGAAAACUAAAUUUCCAUGGCAUACUUUAGUGUACUAUAAUAUUUGUAGGAACAUAUGGAACAUUUCACAGCAUAUUACAGGAAAAUGCUUCAUUUAUGUAAAUAUAAAUAUGAAACAAUCUAAAAUAAAAGUAUCUUCACUGUAAAAAGGAAUCAGUUAAUUUACUUUAAAAAGUGAGUAAACCCAUUAUAACCUGGAAUUGUUAAGUUUAAUUUUUAUAAUUAUGCACAUAAUUAUUUUACUUAAUUUCAAGGCUACUGGAUUACUCACUUUCAGUAAAGUCAACUAAUCGAUUUAAAAGCAUCAGGUUUACUCACUUUUUUAAGUAAGGUCAACUAAUCUCUUUAAAAGCAACAGGUUUACUCACCUUUUUUAAAGAUAAAGUCAUCUAAUAGCUUUAAAAGCAAUGGGUUUGCUCUUUUCAAAGUCAACUAAUAGCUUUAAAUGCAUCAAAUUUACUCACUUUAUUUAAGUAAAGUUAACUAAUCCUUUUUUAAAGCAACAGGUUUACUCACUGAUUUUGAGUAAAGUCAACUAAUCGAUUUAAAAGCAUCGCAUUUACUCAAUUUUUUUCAAAAGUAAAGUCAAGUAGUUGAUUUAAAAGCCUUGGUUUACUCUCUUUUUUCUAGUAAUGUCAACUAAUCACUUUAAAAGCGUCGGGUUUACUCCUUUUAAUGGUAAAGUCCGCUAACAGCUUGAAAUGCAUCAGGUUUUCUCUUUUUUUUAAAGUAAAGUCAACUAAUCUCCUUAAAAGCAUUACAUUUAUUAAUGUUAUUCAAGAGUAAAGUCAAGUAAUCGAUUUAAAUGCAUCAAAUUUACUCACUUUAUUUAAGUAAAGUUAACUAAUCCUUUUUUAAAGCAACAGGUUUACUCACUGAUUUUGAGUAAAGUCAACUAAUCACUUUAAAAGUGUCGGGUUUACUCAUUUUAAUGGUAAAGUAAGCUAACAGCUUUAAAUGCAUCAGGUUGUCUCUUUUUUUAAGUAAAGUCAACUAAUCUCCCUAAAAGCAUUACAUUUAUUAAUGUUUUUCAAGAGUAGAGUCAAGUAAUCGAUUUAAAAGCAACAGGUUUCCUCACUUUUUGAAGUAAAGUCAACUAAUCGCUUUAAAAGCGUCUGGUUUGCCCUUUGUGACAGUAAAGUCCUCUAAUAGCUGUAAAUGCAUCGGGUUUUCUCACUUAUUUUAAAGUAAAGUCAAGUAACCUUUUUAAAAGCAUGGCAUUUUUUUUUCACUUUUCUCAAAGUAAAGUCAACUAGUCACUUUAAAAGCAUCUGAUUUACUCACUCUUUUAAGUAAGGUCAACUAGUCACUUUAAAAGCAACAGGUUUACUCACUUUUUUAAGUAAGGUCAACUAAUCACUUUAAAAGCAACAGGUUUACUCACCAUUUUAAGUAAAGUCAACUAAUCUCUUUUAAAUCAUCAGGUUUACUCAAGUUUUUUAAAGUAAAGUCAACGAAUCGCUUUAAAAGCAUCUGAUUUACUCACUUUUUUAAAAAGUAAAGUCAUUUUAUUGCCAUAAAAGCUUCCGGUUUUUUCAUUUUUUAAAAGGUAAAUCAACUAAUCUCUUUGAAAGCCCCGCAUUUACUCACUUUAAAGUCAAGCAAUCGAUUUAAAAGCAACAGGUUUACUCUUACUCUUUAGGUCAACUUAUUGUUUUUUACAGUGUGAGCUGGUCCAGAUAUUAAUAGGGUGUCAUUCACGCUCGCACUGAUUUUCCUCAUGUUGUCACAAGCACAGACUCGUACAGCUGACCUCACACCGCUUCUGUCUUCCACCAAUGAUUUUUGUCUAGAUUCAGCUGGAUUUCAUAUAGAGAAUGUGGAUGAUUUGUCUGUCUCUCUCUUUCUCUUCUAUUGUCCUGGUUUCGCUUUAGGUCAUUUUAACCUCGUAGAUUCAGUGCAGAGUUUAGUGUAUGUAAAAUAUAAACUCAUAUAUUUUCUAGCCUGCAUUAUCCCAUCUGACUUUCCAUGACCCAAUCAGCAUUUUUAACUCACUUUGUGUCUGAUUAUUAACAUAAUAAUGAUUUCACCUUCACUCUUACCUCACAAAACUGCCUUUCUACAAUCCCGUCCACUUUAUUUCAAGGCCAGAUGAAAUUCUACCUUUAUUUGUCUGUUUGUUUUCCUGCGUAUUGCAUAAGGAAUCAAAUAUAGGGGACGCAAUAAACUUUAUUUUUCUGUAAAUGUUGAACUGAUGUGCAAACACGAGCUCUGUUUUGCUGCCGGAUCGAUAUUCUUGCCCUUCCUCAUGUGCCUGCGCUCGAAAAUAACCCGCAUUUCCCCCAACAGGCUUCUCGAUUAUAUGGUUUACAGUUGUCAAACACAACAAAAAGCUGUACUUGUGUUUAAGUACAUUUCUCCUGUAUGCAUACACACAGAGCUGACCUUUAGGGGUCAAACUGUUUGACCUCUAGUAGGAACUGUGUCUGUCCCAGCUGGUGCUCACAUGCUUUAAAGCCUGAUUCAGGCCAUAUAGGGCUUCAAUUAAAGGGACGGUUCAGACAAAUAAUGAAACUUAAUUCAUUAUUACACACUCUAAUUAAACCCACAAGACCUUCGUUGAGCUUCAAACACAAACUGAGAUCAUUUAGAUGAAAUGUGAGAGCUCUCUGACCCUGGAAAGACAGCAAGGGUCCCACAAUUUUGAUUUAUAAGACCUUUUAAAGUAGAGGAGACCAAUGUAUAUUGAUUUCCAUUUAUUACAAGAACAGUCCAGAAAGAGACUUUUGGUUUUAAAGAAAAUAGCUUAUAUAACCCGUGACUUAAAAUAAACUUAAUAAAUAAUUAAAUGAUUCAAUGCUCAGUUUAUAAUCUUGUUUACAAAGACAACAAAUCAUUAUAUUUAUUUUUUGGUCUUAUUUUCAGUUAAUAAUUACAAGAUGGAUCAGUUUUGAAGAAUUAUUCAGUGACACAUUUUUGAUGGUUGUUUGCCGCCACCUGUUGGUUUGUCUAUGUAAUUGCUACAACCUUUAUUCAGAGCAUUAAGUUGCUCUUAACAAAUUAAUUUGAGCAUUUUAUAAUACAUUUUAAUCAUUUUAAAAUAAUCUUUACCAUAAACAUGUGUUUAUGUAUGAACACACUACACACUGGCCUACACACUGUUCCAGUUGUGUCCACUAACUAGUAAAGUCAACUAAUAGCUUUAAAAGCACCAGGUUUACUCACUAAUUUUUUUUUUUUUUAGAAAAAGUUUUGGUUUUAAAGAAAAUAGCUUAUAUAACUCAUGAUUUUACAAAAAAGAACUCAAAAAUAAAUAACCAGCUAAAUAAAUAAAUGAUUCAAUGCUCAGUUAUUAAAGUGCUUUACAUUACAAUCUCGUUAACAAAGAUAACAAAUCAUAUUAUUUUCAGUUAAUAAUUACAAGCUGGAUCGCUUUUGAAGAAUUAUUCAGACACAUUUUUGAUGGUUGUUUGCCGCCACCUAUUGGUUUGUCUAUGUAAUUGCUACAACCUUCAUUUGGAGCGUUAAGUUGCUCUUAAAAGGUUAAUUUUUAAGAGCAACACACUACACACUGGCCUAAACACUGUACCAGUUUUGUCCACUAACUAGUAAAUUCAACUAACUGAUUUAAAAGCAGCUGGUUUACUCAGUUUUUAAACGUAAAGUCAACUAAUAGCUUUCAAAGCAUCAGGUUUACUCACUUUUUUUUCAGAAAGAACCAUUAGUUUUGAAAGAAAAUAGCUUACAUAAUCUGUGAUUUUUAACAAAAAUAAACUCAAAAUAAAUAACCUAAACAAAUAAAUAAAUGAUUCAAUGUUCAGUUGUUAAAGUGCUUUGCAUUAUAAUCUUGAUAACAAAGGCAACAAAUCAUUAUAUUUAUAUUUUAAGUCUUAUUUUCAAUUGAUAAUUACUAGAUGGAUCAGUUUUAAAGAAUUAUUCAGUGACACAUUUUUGAUGGUUGUUUGCCGCCACCUAUUGGCUUGUCUAUGUAAUUGCUACAACCUUCAUUUGGAACGUUAAGUUGCUCUUAAAGGGUUACUUUGAUCAUUUUAUAAUAUUUGUAAUCUCUGCCAUAAGCAUCAGCAUUUAUGUAUGAACACACUACACACUGACCUACACACUGUACCGGUUUUGUCCACUUACUAAAGUCGACUGAUUUAAAAGCAUUUGGUUCACUUCCUAAAGUAAAGUUAACUAAUCACUUUAAAAGCAACAGGUUUAAUCACUUUUUGCAAAUAAACUUUUGGUUUUAAAGAAAAUAGCUUAUAUAACCCGUUAUUUUAACAAAAAUAAACUCAGAAUAAAUAACCAGCUAAAUAAAUAAAUAAAUGAUUCAAUGCUCAGUUAUUAAAGUGCUUUACAUUAUAAUCUCGUUAACAAAGACCACAAAUCAUAUUCAUUUCAGUUAAUAAUUACAAGAUGGAUCAGUUUUGAAGAAUUAUUCAGUGGCACAUUUUUGAUGGUUGUUUGCCGCCACCUAUUGGCUUGUCUAUGUAAUUGCUACAACCUUCAUUUGGAGCGUUAAGUUGCCCUUAAAGGGUUACUUUAAUCAUUUUAUAAUAUUUGUAAUCUCUGCCAUAAGCAUCAGCGUUUAUGUAUGAACACACUACACACUGACCUACACACUGUACCGGUUUUGUCCACCACACAUUCUUCACUCAUUGUUUCGUUUGACAUUGAAGCCAUUGAAGCUGCGUUUUAAAUAGCGCAGCUCCAGUUCUUCUCACUGAACAUGACUUGUAUUAAUUAGUCUUAAUAACUUUAUCAAUGUCAUUUUUCUGUGUGAUCAUUAAAAACUGUAGGAUUAAUCUACAAAUUAAAGUUAUUUUUCUGCGUGUGAUGUGCAGAGAACGACUUAUGGAUCAACUGUAAGGCAUUGCACACAUUGUCAACACUGUUAAAGUGUCUUAAGUAGUUCAAUCAUACUUUUAUAAAGCUGUGAUCAGAUAUAUGGACUGUUUUUAGAUUAAAUUUCAUCUAAAAUGCCUCAGUUUGUGUUUGAAUAUGACUGGAUGCCUCAUAGGUUUUGAAUAGGGUGAGUAGUCAAUGACAGGGUGCUCAUUUCUGACUGAACUAUGCCUUUGAAACGGUCAUUUCUCACACUAAUCCACCCUAACAGGUCAGUAAAAUCAAAGCGCAUCUCAUUUGUUUGUCUCUCGUCGUCUCCUCUAUUCUCACUUUACACAACUGUAGCACUUAUUUCCUAAACCUCAUCGAAUAUUUUAAACAAUCAUUGAAGCUAAGCUGCUAGAAACGUGUCAUUAUGUUUAUGUGAAAAGUAUUUUUUUGAUCCUGUAAUAAAUGUUAAUUUUUUGGGUUUGUUUUCUAUUCAACCAACAAUAAACAUAUUACACACCAA
Non-coding RNA from Danio rerio (zebrafish), 7815 nucleotides. The record is from RefSeq and is a predicted model, not a curated record. NCBI's taxonomy places the organism in Eukaryota, Metazoa, Chordata, Actinopteri, Cypriniformes, Danionidae.